This 465-nucleotide ribosomal RNA is filed under the name Vreelandella stevensii. RNAcentral describes it as "partial 16S ribosomal RNA". It matches the Rfam family "Bacterial small subunit ribosomal RNA", at positions 338 to 795 of the family's 1533-position model. Lineage: Bacteria; Pseudomonadati; Pseudomonadota; Gammaproteobacteria; Oceanospirillales; Halomonadaceae. The record is from RNAcentral.
CCUACGGGUGGCUGCAGUGGGGAAUAUUGGACAAUGGGCGAAAGCCUGAUCCAGCCAUGCCGCGUGUGUGAAGAAGGCCUUCGGGUUGUAAAGCACUUUCAGUGGGGAAGAAAGCCUUGGGGCUAAUACCCUCGAGGAAGGACAUCACCCACAGAAGAAGCACCGGCUAACUCCGUGCCAGCAGCCGCGGUAAUACGGAGGGUGCGAGCGUUAAUCGGAAUUACUGGGCGUAAAGCGCGCGUAGGCGGUCUGAUAAGCCGGUUGUGAAAGCCCCGGGCUCAACCUGGGAACGGCAUCCGGAACUGUCAGGCUAGAGUGCAGGAGAGGAAGGUGGAAUUCCCGGUGUAGCGGUGAAAUGCGUAGAGAUCGGGAGGAAUACCAGUGGCGAAGGCGGCCUUCUGGACUUACACUGACGCUGAGGUGCGAAAGCGUGGGUAGCAAACAGGAUUAGAUACCCUAGUAGUC